CAGAAGCUUAAAUGGAAUCGUGAGUUCUGCCACGUACUCUGCUUCAGAAGUUCCGGGGAGCAGAGGACACUCGAGGUCGCAUCCUCAGUGUGGCCUGGAUCCUUCUCCCCUUUUGUUCUCCUGGAGAACGUCUUGCAGUAUAGCUGAUCCUGGAUGUCGGAGAGGUCACAUGUGACUCUGAGCAGUAUGUCUGGUGUGGAGGCGUAAGAGAGGCCUGAUGCCCACGGAGGAUUUCACGUGUUAACAGGAUGGCCCUGUACACAGAAGCAACCAAGGGCCCCAGCACGGGGACACCAGCACCGGAUAGCACCUCAUAAGGACAAGACACUGAAUUUCUCCUUUGCCCUCUCAUGGAAGUCAUCUGCGAUCCCUCCGGGGGUGAGUAUUGUGUGUGCCCUGAGAUGGUCCCUGAGGGCGGCCAUAUGGACCCGCGUGCUGCCAGGCUGGCUGUGUGCCCCAGAUCCUGAGCUGUCGGUGGAGACAGGGGUCGAGCCCAGAGACCCCAGCCAGGUAAAACUACCUUUUGAUAGAUAUGCUGAUGGGUCUGGGAGGGGCACUCAGGAACGUAGGCCACUAGGUGGCCUUGUGCUUUUUGGGCAAGUCAUUUCCACCCUCCUCUGGCGAUAAGGCAGUUCGACUGGACCCUUCCAUCUCUGAUGUUGCACAUCCCGUGACUCUAUAAUGACCCCUGUCAGAAGCCAUCCUGCGGGAUGAGGACAGGGGUGAAAAGAUAGCGAGUCAACUCCAACCAGCGGUCAGGACGCCGGACCUGCUAACCAACUGCAACGCUUCCUACAUACCCAAGGCUCAAGUCAAACAGAAAAGCACAAAGCUCCUGGAUCCACUUUAACAUCCCUGCGAGGCUGAAAAUCUCCCUCCUUUUUAAGCUGUAAAAGAUGUGCUCCCUGAGACAGAUGCCCUCAUCUUUAAUCAUUUUCCACCGUCUCCAGCCACAAGCAGCCUGAAAGGUGAUGAAUUAGGACUCUGUAGAU
RNAcentral lists this long non-coding RNA (992 nucleotides) under Felis catus (domestic cat). RNAcentral's name for it is "lncRNA (ENSFCAG00000051074.1)". Lineage: Eukaryota; Metazoa; Chordata; Mammalia; Carnivora; Felidae. The record is from RNAcentral.